This is a long non-coding RNA of Magnolia sinica, 907 nucleotides long. RefSeq lists it as uncharacterized. The record is from RefSeq and is a predicted model, not a curated record. The transcript has 6 exons. Lineage: Eukaryota; Viridiplantae; Streptophyta; Magnoliopsida; Magnoliales; Magnoliaceae.
GUUUGUAUUCUCUGGCCCAAAAAAUCAGGCGAACAAGCUGACAAUCAUGAGUUGGGUUACACGUUGGCCCAUGAUCAAUAUACAAGUGUGGCCUACCUGAUGAGUAGGUCACACUUGAGUAGGUACAUGCGGGCACAAUGGGGCUUGCCUGAUGAAGGGUCUGAAUAUUGUACAAGUCUCAGUCUAGCAUAUGUACCUGUGAGCACGAUUCAAACAAUACUCAGGGCCCUUUAUCUGUUGAACAUCGGAAAGUUGUCUUAGUUAGCUUGCAAAACCUCUUCAUCCAUAACAGUGGAUCCAUUGGAGAAUUCCCCAAAGUCAUGUUUUUAUGUGGUACAGAUCUACAUGAAUCUUUUAGCAUCACUGGAGCUUGGAUUCCCGAGCAGGUAUGGAUUAUCUGUAGAGACUAUGGUGUCAUCUGCAUCUGUAGAGAAGGGAAAGACGUUGAGAAGAUCAUCUCUGCAUGAGAUUUUAUAUGAAAAUAAGUCAAUUCUGAUCCGCUCAUCUUGAUCAGUAACAUGUAAGACAGGAACAAUCCCCGCCGUGUGUUUGUCAUUGCAGGGAAUGCAUAAUGCAAGGAUUGUCUGUGAAAUAUCUGACUGCAGAUGAAAUCAUCGAUUACAUUGGCGAGCAGUGGCUCUAUUUCGACACGGGCACCAGAUUUUUAAAUUAUGGAGCUAUGGAGUUCUGAUGGAAUGCAGCGCUAGCAUUACAGUCCCAGUGCCCACUCUUAGAUGGUGCAUAUGUGAUUGAUCUAGGCCCUUCAUUAGGUAGUGCACACUGUAAAGGUUGGUUGUCCUUGUAAGUAUCACAUGGUGGUAAAACUUGGCUGAUUCAUUCACUUGGUGGGCCAAAGCUAUAUGUGGGGUCAGAUAGAUGGUCUUCCAUUAAUUUACAGUGUGGCCUA